This 651-nucleotide ribosomal RNA is filed under the name uncultured bacterium. Its description in RNAcentral is "bacterial SSU rRNA". It matches the Rfam family "Bacterial small subunit ribosomal RNA", at positions 94 to 743 of the family's 1533-position model. The record is from RNAcentral.
ACCGGCGCACGGGUGCGUAACGCGUAUGAAACCUGCCUUUUACUGGGGGAUAGCCCGAAGAAAUUCGGAUUAAUACCCCAUAAUAUUAUUGAUUGGCAUCAAUUGAUAAUUAAAGCUGAGGUGGUAAAAGAUGGUCAUGCGUGACAUUAGCUAGUUGGUAAGGUAAAGGCUUACCAAGGCGACGAUGUCUAGGGGUUCUGAGAGGAAGGUCCCCCACACUGGUACUGAGACACGGACCAGACUCCUACGGGAGGCAGCAGUGAGGAAUAUUGGUCAAUGGACGCAAGUCUGAACCAGCCAUGUCGCGUGCAGGAAGACUGCCCUAUGGGUUGUAAACUGCUUUUAUAUGGGAAGAAUGUGAUCUACGUGUAGAUUUUUGCCGGUACCAUAUGAAUAAGCAUCGGCUAACUCCGUGCCAGCAGCCGCGGUAAUACGGAGGAUGCGAGCGUUAUCCGGAUUCAUUGGGUUUAAAGGGUGCGUAGGCGGAAAUAUAAGUCAGGGGUGAAAGUUUGUGGCUCAACCAUAAAAUUGCCUUUGAUACUGUAUUUCUUGAGUACAUUUGAGGUAGGCGGAAUGUGUUGUGUAGCGGUGAAAUGCUUAGAUAUAACACAGAACACCGAUUGCGAAGGCAGCUUACUAAACUGUCACUGA